UUCCCACACAAUCACAAAAAGGAAAGAAAGAAAGAAAAAGCUUGGCAAAGCAAUAUUUUGUAUUCAUUUCAGGAACUCUCAACCUGAUCGAGAAAAAUGAUGGAACAUCUUCUCGUCUUCAGGUGCCCAAGACGUAUUUAGUCCCUGAGAAUCGUCCUAAGAGAGGCAUUUUCCGGUUAGCCUGCAGCUUCAAGAAGACCCGGCACAGGCGAGAGGCUGGCAGAGCUGAAAGCUCAGAGGAUGACAUCGGACUUGCCGGGGCGCGUAGAGGACAGUGCUGGGCUGCUGAGUGAACACAAACAAUGGAGCUUACCCAAGAAGAAUGUUGAAAGUUGCCCUUGGUUGUUUCACCCAAGUUCAUCCGGCUGUUGAGAAGUGGCAGAGGAAAUAUGUCAGCCAGUGGUGUUGACAAAUGUUAGUUUACGGAGAGUUCGGCCAAGUUCAGAGGAUAUUUGACACACAUGGCUUGCCACCCGCUUCUCAGGACCGGGAAAAAGGAACCACAAAUAUCUCAUCAUGUCCCUAUGCCUUGGUCUCCUCGUCUGUAAAAGAGAGUGACAAAGAACUAGCUCACCAUGUUUGAGGAUGCAGCAAGCUGGUAGAUUGGCCUUUGGGUUUCCUUGUUUCAGGACUCUUUGGGCCACAGGAUUGAAAGCAGGAGUUCUUCAAGAUCGUUCUCUCUCCCUUUCUGGCCUGGCAUUAGAGAAGAUUGUGCUAAUGGAGGAAGGAGGCAGCCGGGGGAGGCUGGGGAGCAGAAGGUGAGAGAAGGGGAGGGGGUGGAAAGCAGGCUGGAGAGGUUCUCUCAGACCUGAACGGUCCAGGUCCUUACUCCCUUCCCUCCCAGGGCCCCAGGGAGGAGGGAGAGCUUCCCUGGGCCCAUGGACCCCCAUCUUCUGCAGAGGCCACGGCCCAGGAGCAGGUGAGCGGCUGGCCUGUCAGGACCUUGGGCUGUGAGAACAUCAAUACCCAGAGGCCCUUCCAUGGCCUCCAGGUGAGUGGUGCCACCGUGCUUCCAGGAUGAGCCUCGCUCACUUCUGACCAAAUGGGUGACUUUCUCCACCAGCCUGGUGAACUGGACGCUCCUAAUCAGAAUUAAUUUGUUUUCAGAAAAAAAUCACGUGGUGUUUCUUUCGUGCCCAUGUUUGUGGAAUAAAACCCAUCGCCUGCUCCAUACAGAACACUAUCUGAUAAAUGCCCUCUGACAAAAACGCUAGGUAAAUAGCCACACCUGGACGAGACAUAUCCUGAAAGAACCAGUAGGAGUCAGGAAAUCUCAGUCCUGUUUUUGCCUCUGGCGCUAACUAGCUCCGUGACCUUAAGUCAGUCACUUCCCCGAUCUGUGCUUCCAUUUAUUUAUUGGCUGAAUAAAGAGAACUGGCCUCAAUUCCUGGUCCGUGUUACUGCAAAUUUAGAAUGGAUUUGGGAAACAUGGAAUAGUCACGAAACCGUAUUCUUAACCGAAGAUAUAGUUUAGAAACUGUUCCAGGACUGCUAAUCUCCUCUUCAAAAAGAAUUGACUUUUCGGAAAAGCAGAGUUUCUGCAACGACAGAAGACAGCCCGAAAAAAUGUGACAUUAUGUCUGUUACCUGCUUAAGCCACACUUGUUCAUGCACUUGUGGUCUCUCUGUCGGGAUUUUGGUCUUCAUGGUAAUGUGUACCUCUCGAGAUUUUCAUUCUAAAAAGAAAAGCGCCUUUGAAAAAAACCCAUCCUUCCAUAACGGGCUCAUCUUUCACUGGGGCUGGAGCAGUGUAAACACAACCGCAGGAGGCUCCGUGUUUAUGUUUUCCCAAUGACUUCCAGAUCAAAUUUGCUGUGUUUACAAGAUGGAGACACUUUUUCUAACCGCCAGCAUUGCAGAUUCAAAGUGGGGGGAGGAGGGGGCAGUGGGGACGCCCCAGCUGGGCUCUCUCUGCUUCCAGUUACGUUGCAUCUCUGGCAGUGACUCCGUGGUGCCCCAGCAGGAUGAGCGCCUAGCUCAGCAGCCCACUGUAGACACUGACUUUUCAUACUUAAAUCGAAUCAAGAUGCCAGGUUAUUAUGAUGAUGAUUUUAAACUUUAAGCCUCAGGCCUAGAGGUAGGAUCCUGACUACAGAGAGAAUCUUUUUUUUCCAUGCUUGGCAAUUGUUUUACUGUUCCCUAUGCCUCCCUCAGUUCUUGCCUCAUCCAGACUCUGUGAAUCUCAUUUUGAAGUUUCUCUUAAUUCCCUUGAAUCGUGAACAGUGUUAACCAGAAGCCCCUAGGGGAGCAUGAAAUUUGCAGGUCAUCUCUUAAGGUACCUGUUAGUAUUCAGACAUGAAGCCCUUGAAUCUUUUACCUUGAAAAAAUAUAUCCCUUUAAAACAACCAUUUCACUUAAAUGCCCUUAUGUCAGAUGCUUAAUGCUUAUUUUGACCAUGGAGCUGGCACCCCAACUGGCUGUCACAAUGUCCUUGCAGGGAUUUGUCAGUGGGCAGUGGGAGGCAUUGGUUCGUCCAUCAGUGUCUUCCAUUCUUUCAUGGGGAGGAGAGCGGAAUUGCCUUCAGGAGCCUGAGUCGCAUCAGGAGCUGAUCCACCAGCAGCACUGCCCGGCUGUGUGACUUUGGCCGAGCUUGACUCUCUGAGGCCCAGUUUCCUCUUCUGCUUUGGGGAUAAGCUGCCGUUCCAUGGGAGAUGCCAGGCAUGAAAGGACCUUAUACUUAGUAAAACACCAUGGAAGUGAGAAGUUCUGUGACCAUCAGGCUCAAGAUUCCUGGGAAGGUGGCUAAUGGGGGUCAGGGAUGCUCUCUGUUGCUAUGCAACUGGGGAUGUUUGUAAAAACAAGUUAAAAAUUUUUGUUUAAAUCAUUAACAUCCCUGAAACUCAGACCUGAGGUGUCCAGUGUCUCUCCAGCACUCGCUUACCUUUCCUUGGACUCUGCCAUUACCGUGGCAAACACGUCCCUCACUGGGAUUCCGGUUGUCCCCCUGUCAACGGGAGGGUUGGACUUGCUGGGGUCUAAGGAGCCUUUCAGCUCCAAUGGGCCGCCCUUUUGCUCCGUGCUUCUCAGGCUGGUGUGUAGGAAGACGUGACGGAGUUAGAGGGGAGAAAAGGAGAGUCUCCGCUCAUACUUCUACUGAAAGCUUUUUUGGAAAUAAAUAAGCAAAUGCAAACUUUAUUACCAGGAAACUCAGAUCUGAACCGAUUUUAAUGAGCGCUCUUAUUCGAUGUUUUAAUUUCAAAUACGUGUUCUUUGACUGUCCCCAUCUCACUCACAGACCACGCACACGUACAGGUGGGCAUGCAUCAUACAUACACACCUAUUUCUACUCUCUCCCUCCCUCCCUCCUUUCUUUCUUUCUUCCUGAUUUGAUUGUAAGUGUCUUAUUGUAUGCUAUUUAAAAUUUUUUUGAAAUUGAGUAAGUAAGAAUAUUAUUUUUUUAAAAGCAAAAAAAAAAGAUGAUUUAUAAAGGAAGUGGGCUGUGCUCUUUUGUAUUUUCAGUUCUGUAAUUUUGUUGCUGCAACUCACGAUGCAAGUUCUCCGCUGGCUGGUAAUCAAAUAAAGCCUUCACCUGGGUCUGGA
This is a non-coding RNA of Equus caballus (horse), 3540 nucleotides long. Lineage: Eukaryota; Metazoa; Chordata; Mammalia; Perissodactyla; Equidae. The record is from RefSeq and is a predicted model, not a curated record.